GACGAACCGUGCGAACGUUGUUCGGAAUCACUGGGCUUAAAGGGCGCGUAGGCGGUCUGUCAAGUCAGGGGUGAAAGCCUCCAGCUUAACUGGAGAAGUGCCUUUGAUACUGGUGGACUCGAGUGAGGUAGGGGUAGUGGGAACUUCCGGUGGAGCGGUGAAAUGCGUUGAUAUCGGAAGGAACGCCGGUGGCGAAAGCGCACUACUGGACCUCUUCUGACGCUGAGGCGCGAAAGCCAGGGGAGCAAACGGG
Molecule: ribosomal RNA, 253 nt
Filed under: uncultured bacterium
Lineage: Bacteria
Description: partial 16S ribosomal RNA
Rfam family: Bacterial small subunit ribosomal RNA
Source: RNAcentral